UGGAGAGUUUGAUCCUGGCUCAGGACUAACGCUGGCGGCGCGCAUAAGCUUAUGCAAGUCGUGCGAUUAAAGCUCCCCUCGGGGAGUGCAUAAAGCGGCGAACGGGUGAGUAACACGUGGGCAACCUGCCCGUCGGUAUGGGAUAACCCGCCGAAAGGCGAGCUAAUACCGUAUACGGUCCCCAGACGGCAUCAGCCGGGGAAGAAAGCCGGCCUCUGCUUGCAAGCUGGCGCCGACGGAUGGGCCCGCGGGCUAUUAGCUUGUUGGUGGGGUAACGGCCUACCAAGGCGAUGAUGGCUAGCCGGCCUGAGAGGGCGUUCGGCCACACAGGGACUGAGACAAGGCCCUGUCCCCUACGGGAGGCGCAGGCGGGAAUCGUUCACAAUGGGCGAAAGCCUGAUGACGCGACGCCGCGUGAGGGAUGAAGGCUCUCGGGUUGUAAACCUCUGCCGGGAGAGAAGAAAGGCGGGCGGUUAAUACCCGCUCGAGCUGACGUUAUCUCCCAAGAAAGCCUCGGCUAACUACGUGCCAGCAGCCGCGGUAAUACGUAGGGGGCAAGCGUUGUCCGGAAUUACUGGGCGUAAAGGGGGCGUAGGCGGCUUGGUAAGUCCUGUGUGAAAUCCCACGGCUCAACCGUGGAACUGCGCUCGAUACUGCCGACCUCGAGUACGGGAUAGGAGAGUGGAACUCACGGUGUAGCGGUAAAAUGCGUAGAUAUCGUGAGGAACACCGGUGGCGUAGGCGGCUCUCUGGCCCGAUACUGACGCUGAGACACGAAAGCCAGGGUAGCGAACGGGAUUAGAUACCCCGGUAGUCCUGGCCGUAAACGAUGGGCACUAGGUGUGGGAAGCAUCGACCCUUUCCGUGCCGAAGCCAACGCAUUAAGUGCCCCGCCUGGGGAGUACGAUCGCAAGGUUGAAACUCAAAGGAAUUGACG
Molecule: ribosomal RNA, 937 nt
Filed under: Candidatus Zixiibacteriota bacterium
Lineage: Bacteria; Pseudomonadati; Candidatus Zixiibacteriota
Description: bacterial SSU rRNA
Rfam family: Bacterial small subunit ribosomal RNA
Source: RNAcentral